RNAcentral lists this long non-coding RNA (1515 nucleotides) under Pan troglodytes (chimpanzee). RNAcentral's name for it is "long non-coding RNA NONPTRT016937". The record is from RNAcentral. Lineage: Eukaryota; Metazoa; Chordata; Mammalia; Primates; Hominidae.
UCUGAAGUAGCCAUGCGUAAAACUCCAAGGAAACAAAUUAGAAAAAAAAAAGUGUAGGCCUUUGAAUUAUUCCAAAGCCUCAAACAAAAUAUUGAAAAGCAACUGUUAGCACAGCAGAGCCAUAGCUAGGCUGAACUCUCACUGAAGUAACUUGGUGACGUGUGCAAGUGACGGCAAGAUUCUAAUGCACUGCAAAUGCCGGCUGUGCUGGGAGAGCGUCAUUCAAUCCAGCGCGCUCCAGGCUCUUGGCAGAAAAGGACUUUUAUAGGAUGUAAGAAAUGCUGUAAAUCCAAUACCAUGGUUUGGAUGGGGAAAGGGAGAGUGAGGCAAUGCAAAAGUAGAAUUCCUAGAGCCAUUCCCGAAACACGCUGGGUUUGGGGGAGAGAGGUGUCUCGAGAUUGUUUCAAUGAGCUGUUGGGAAACAUUUCAGAAGCAGGGAUGAGAAGCUGCUCUGCUUCUCAUUGUGGCAAUGUGUGGUCAUCUGUUUGACUCAGAGGACCGCGGGAAGGCCCAGUUAUUCUGAACACGCAUUUUCCUAACUACGGGUUGGUAAAGACUUCUUCAGUGUACGCACCCUGCGAGAUGCUAUGGGUUAUGUGCCAUCCACGUUUUGUUUUGCGUAUUUUCCCUGCUUAUUUUUCCUACAAUAUCUGAAAUUAAUGGUUCACACAAAUUAGAGAUUUGAGGGGAUGUAUUUCGGGGAAGGGAUGAAGGGGCCUUCUCAGAGGAGUAUAACCUGGGGUGGGGUGAGGUCAGGGUCCUCUCGGUCAGGGGCAGCAGGCAAGGCUGACCUCCAAGGCAGGGGUAGGGUGGAGGUUGGGGGAAGAGCAGCAAAGAGUAAAUUCCACAGCCCACAUCACUCACAAAAUCAGAGAAACAGUGAACUAUUCUUCUGCUAGGUUCUCCUACUACUGUAAUAUUUAACAAAAGAGGUUCCUACUGUGAAAAUACAGCUCCAGCAUCAAUGGAGUAGAUCCGAUACACUUAUAUACGCUCAUGGAAUUUGCUUUUUCUCUUCCCUUGUGUUGAAUUUUAUAGCAUAAUAAAUACCGAGCCUCAGCAGCUUUCAUGUGCCUUGCAGGAGACAGUGGCAGCAGGGGCAAAUGAUUCUUCCUGGAUGGUGACUUUAACAAAGACUUCUUCUGGGGGGCACCGAUCUCCACCUGGCCAUGUCUUCAAGCCCAAGGAGAAGUCCCAGGAUGGGUCUGAGCUAAUCACGGUGAUCGCAAUACAAAUGACUGCGCUAAGCAUGGCACAGCUGGCCUCAAUCCUGGCCAAUGCAACCUGAGAAUCAACUGCUGGUGGGAUUCUGGGGGAGUUUUUCUCACUGUUAUAAACAGAUGCAUAAGCAGAAAUACUUCUCUUUGCUGGACACUGUCAUGUCUAAUGUGACGCCUGGAUCACUGAAGCCCCCAGAGGCCACGGGACACGCUGAAAAUGGCCCAGUGGGAAGGCGGAAAGCCUUGGGUCCUGAAAAACACUUCUAAGUCACUGACAGACCAAACUGAAAUCAUC